GAAGUGGCUUCUCAAGGCAAGAAAAUUGCAAAAAUGAAAGGAGAUCACAGGUUUGUACUGUGCUCAUGGUUUUGGGUUCCGCUUAAUGUUUUGUUGCUGCUGUUCGGCUAAUGUAAAUAAAGUGUUUGUGUGCCAACAGGUGAGGAAUGGAGGCUGCUGCUGUUUAAAGCAUGAAAAUAGUGAUGAAUGGAGACUGCUGCUGUUUAAAGCAUUAAAAAAGAGCUGGGUGUUGUACCUCGGUUGACCAGCGGAUGGUGCUUGUGUACUGUGCUUUACUCAGCCAGAAAGGUGAGUUGCUUUGUAAUGUAUU
Betta splendens (Siamese fighting fish) is the source of this 310-nucleotide long non-coding RNA. RefSeq lists it as uncharacterized. The transcript is spliced from 3 exons. The record is from RefSeq and is a predicted model, not a curated record. Lineage: Eukaryota; Metazoa; Chordata; Actinopteri; Anabantiformes; Osphronemidae.